Molecule: ribosomal RNA, 440 nt
Filed under: uncultured bacterium
Lineage: Bacteria
Description: partial 16S ribosomal RNA
Rfam family: Bacterial small subunit ribosomal RNA
Source: RNAcentral
CCUACGGGAGGCAGCAGUGGGGGAUAUUGCACAAUGGGGGGAACCCUGAUGCAGCGACGCCGCGUGGGUGAAGGAGGGUUUCGGCGCGUAAAGCCCUAUCGGCAGGGAAGAAGAUGAUGGUACCUGACCAAGAAGCCCCGGCUAACUACGUGCCAGCAGCCGCGGUAAUACGUCGGGGGCAAGCGUUAGCCGGCUUGACUGGGUGUAAAGGGGGCGCAGACGGCAAUGCAAGCCAGGAGUGAAAGCCCGGGGCCCAACCCCGGGACUGCUCUUGGAACUGCAUGGCUGGAGUACAGGAGGGGCAGGCGGCCUUCCUAGUGUAGCGGUGAAAUGCGUAGAUAUUAGGCGGCACACCGGUGGCGAAGGCGGCCUGCUGGACUGUGCCUGCCGUUGAGGCCCGAAUGCGUGGGGAGCAAACAGGAUUAGAUACCCUUGUAGUC